UACGAAGGGGGCUAGCGUUGUUCGGAAUGACUGGGCGUAAAGCGCACGUAGGCGGCUUGUUUAGUCAGAGGUGAAAUCCCGGGGCUUAACCCCGGAACUGCCUUUGAUACUGGCAAGCUUGAGUCCGGAAGAGGGUGACGGAAUACCCAGUGUAGAGGUGAAAUUCGUAGAUAUUGGGUAGAACACCAGUGGCGAAGGCGGUCACCUGGUCCGGUACUGACGCUGAGGUGCGAAAGCGUGGGGAG
RNAcentral lists this ribosomal RNA (245 nucleotides) under uncultured Rhodobiaceae bacterium. Its description in RNAcentral is "partial 16S ribosomal RNA". It matches the Rfam family "Bacterial small subunit ribosomal RNA", at positions 524 to 768 of the family's 1533-position model. Lineage: Bacteria; Pseudomonadati; Pseudomonadota; Alphaproteobacteria; Hyphomicrobiales; Rhodobiaceae. The record is from RNAcentral.